This 289-nucleotide ribosomal RNA is filed under the name Providencia rettgeri. RNAcentral's name for it is "partial 16S ribosomal RNA". It matches the Rfam family "Bacterial small subunit ribosomal RNA", at positions 1 to 289 of the family's 1533-position model. The record is from RNAcentral. Lineage: Bacteria; Pseudomonadati; Pseudomonadota; Gammaproteobacteria; Enterobacterales; Morganellaceae.
UAAUUGAAGAGUUUGAUCAUGGCUCAGAUUGAACGCUGGCGGCAGGCCUAACACAUGCAAGUCGAGCGGUAACAGGGGAAGCUUGCUUCUCGCUGACGAGCGGCGGACGGGUGAGUAAUGUAUGGGGAUCUGCCCGAUAGAGGGGGAUAACUACUGGAAACGGUAGCUAAUACCGCAUAAUCUCUCAGGAGCAAAGCAGGGGAACUUCGGUCCUUGCGCUAUCGGAUGAACCCAUAUGGGAUUAGCUAGUAGGUGAGGUAAUGGCUCACCUACUAGCUAAUCCCAUAUG